UGGGGCGUCGCCAAGCGGUAAGGCAACGGGUUUUGGUCCCGUUAUUCGAAGGUUCGAAUCCUUCCGUCCCAG
This 72-nucleotide transfer RNA is filed under the name Medicago laciniata. RNAcentral's name for it is "tRNA-Gln". It matches the Rfam family "tRNA". Rfam says of the family: Transfer RNA (tRNA) molecules are approximately 80 nucleotides in length. Their secondary structure includes four short double-helical elements and three loops (D, anti-codon, and T loops). Further hydrogen bonds mediate the characteristic L-shaped molecular structure. tRNAs have two regions of fundamental functional importance: the anti-codon, which is responsible for specific mRNA codon recognition, and the 3' end, to which the tRNAs corresponding amino acid is attached (by aminoacyl-tRNA synthetases). tRNAs cope with the degeneracy of the genetic code in two manners: having more than one tRNA (with a specific anti-codon) for a particular amino acid; and 'wobble' base-pairing, i.e. permitting non-standard base-pairing at the 3rd anti-codon position. RNAcentral also lists the same sequence under 1 other name. The record is from RNAcentral. Lineage: Eukaryota; Viridiplantae; Streptophyta; Magnoliopsida; Fabales; Fabaceae.